This 280-nucleotide ribosomal RNA is filed under the name uncultured bacterium. RNAcentral's name for it is "partial 16S ribosomal RNA". It matches the Rfam family "Bacterial small subunit ribosomal RNA", at positions 79 to 354 of the family's 1533-position model. The record is from RNAcentral.
CUUGCUUUCUCCGCCGGCGACCGGCGCACGGGUGAGUAACACGUAUGCAACCUGCCCCUGUCAGGGGGACAACCCGCCGAAAGGCGGGCUAAACCCGCGUACAUGCCACCGGGGCAUCCCGGAGGCAGGAAAGGCUUCGGCCGGACAGGGAUGGGCAUACGGCGCAUUAGGCAGUAGGCGGGGUAACGGCCCACCUAACCGACGAUGCGUAGGGGUUCUGAGAGGAAGGUCCCCCACACUGGUACUGAGACACGGACCAGACUCCUACGGGAGGCAGCAG